Molecule: ribosomal RNA, 253 nt
Filed under: uncultured bacterium
Lineage: Bacteria
Description: partial 16S ribosomal RNA
Rfam family: Bacterial small subunit ribosomal RNA
Source: RNAcentral
UACGGAGGGGACUAGCGUUGUUCGGAAUUACUGGGCGUAAAGCGCACGUAGGCGGAUUUGUAAGUCAGGGGUGAAAUCCCGAGGCUCAACCUCGGAACUGCCUUUGAUACUGCAAAUCUCGAGUCCGGAAGAGGUGAGUGGAAUUCCUAGUGUAGAGGUGAAAUUCGUAGAUAUUAGGAAGAACACCAGUGGCGAAGGCGGCUCACUGGUCCGGUACUGACGCUGAGGUGCGAAAGCGUAGGGAGCAAACAGG